This 328-nucleotide unclassified non-coding RNA is filed under the name soil metagenome. RNAcentral describes it as "partial contains 5.8S ribosomal RNA, internal transcribed spacer 2, and large subunit ribosomal RNA". The stretch from base 1 to 120 matches the Rfam family "5.8S ribosomal RNA", at positions 35 to 154 of the family's 154-position model. The record is from RNAcentral.
GAUGAAGAACGCAGCGAAAUGCGAUAAGUAAUGUGAAUUGCAGAAUUCAGUGAAUCAUCGAAUCUUUGAACGCACAUUGCGCCCCUUGGUAUUCCGAGGGGCAUGCCUGUUCGAGCGUCAUUAUAACCCUCAAGCUCAGCUUGGUGUUGGGGCCUGCUGCACUGGCAGCCCUUAAAAUCAGUGGCGGCGCCAUCUGGCUCUAAGCGUAGUAAUUCUUCUCGCUAUGGAGUCCUGGUGGAUGCUUGCCAUCAACCCCCAAUUUUUCUAUGGUUGACCUCGGAUCAGGUAGGGAUACCCGCUGAACUUAUGCAUAUCAAUAAGCGGAGGA